AUACAGAGGGUGCAAGCGUUAAUCGGAUUUACUGGGCGUAAAGCGCGCGUAGGUGGCUAAUUAAGUCAAAUGUGAAAUCCCCGAGCUUAACUUGGGAAUUGCAUUCGAUACUGGUUAGCUAGAGUAUGGGAGAGGAUGGUAGAAUUCCAGGUGUAGCGGUGAAAUGCGUAGAGAUCUGGAGGAAUACCGAUGGCGAAGGCAGCCAUCUGGCCUAAUCCUGACACUGAGGUGCGAAAGCAUGGGGAGCAAACAGGAUUAGAUACCCUGGUAGUCCAUGCCGUAAACGAUGUCUACUAGCCGUUGGGGCCCUUGAGGCUUUAGUGGCGCAGCUAACGCGAUAAGUAGACCGCCUGGGGAGUACGGUCGCAAGACUGAAACUCAAAGGAAUUGACGGGG
RNAcentral lists this ribosomal RNA (396 nucleotides) under uncultured bacterium. RNAcentral describes it as "partial 16S ribosomal RNA". It matches the Rfam family "Bacterial small subunit ribosomal RNA", at positions 523 to 918 of the family's 1533-position model. The record is from RNAcentral.